GGGCCCGCACAAGUGGUGGAGCAUGUGGUUUAAUUCGAUGAUACGCGAGGAACCUUACCAGGGCUUAAAUGUAGAUUGCAUUAGCUAGAGAUAGCUAUUUCUUCGGACUAUCUACAAGGUGCUGCAUGGUUGUCGUCAGCUCGUGCCGUGAGGUGUCAGGUUAAGUCCUAUAACGAGCGCAACCCCUAUCGUUAGUUGCCAGCGGGUAAUGCCGGGAACUCUAAUGAGACUGCCAGCGCAAGCUGUGAGGAAGGUGGGGAUGACGUCAAAUCAUCACGGCCCUUACGUCCUGGGCUACACACGUACUACAAUGCUACGGACAAAGGGCUGCAAGUUCGCGAGGACAAGCAAAUCCCAUAAACCGUGGCUCAGUUCAGAUCGUAGGCUGCAACUCGCCUACGUGAAGGCGGAAUCGCUAGUAAUCG
This 425-nucleotide ribosomal RNA is filed under the name uncultured bacterium. RNAcentral describes it as "bacterial SSU rRNA". It matches the Rfam family "Bacterial small subunit ribosomal RNA", at positions 917 to 1344 of the family's 1533-position model. The record is from RNAcentral.